GAUGAACGCUGGCGGCGUGCCUAAUACAUGCAAGUCGAGCGAACAGACGAGGAGCUUGCUCCUCUGACGUUAGCGGCGGACGGGUGAGUAACACGUGGAUAACCUACCUAUAAGACUGGGAGAACUUCGGGAAACCGGAGCUAAUACCGGAGAAUAUAUUGAACCGCAUGGUUCAAUAGUGAAAGACGGUUUUGCUGUCACUUAUAGAUGGAUCCGCGCCGGAUUAGCUAGUUGGUAAGGUAACGGCUUACCAAGGCAACGAUGCGUAGCCGACCUGAGAGGGUGAUCGGCCACACUGGAACUGAGACACGGUCCAGACUCCUACGGGAGGCAGCAGUAGGGAAUAUUCCGCAAUGGGCGCAAGCCUGACGGAGCAACGCCGCGUGAGUGAUGAAGGUCUUCGGAUCGUAAAACUCUGUUAUUAGGGAAGAACAAAUGUGUAAGUAACUAUGCACGUCUUGACGGUACCUAAUCAGAAAGCCACGGCUAACUACGUG
Molecule: ribosomal RNA, 497 nt
Filed under: uncultured bacterium
Lineage: Bacteria
Description: partial 16S ribosomal RNA
Rfam family: Bacterial small subunit ribosomal RNA
Source: RNAcentral